Molecule: ribosomal RNA, 253 nt
Filed under: uncultured bacterium
Lineage: Bacteria
Description: partial 16S ribosomal RNA
Rfam family: Bacterial small subunit ribosomal RNA
Source: RNAcentral
UACGUAGGGUGCGAGCGUUGUCCGGAAUUACUGGGCGUAAAGAGCUCGUAGGUGGUUUGUCGCGUUGUCCGUGAAAACUCACAACUCAAUUGUGGGCGUGCGGGCGAUACGGGCAGACUGGAGUACUGCAGGGGAGACUGGAAUUCCUGGUGUAGCGGUGAAAUGCGCAGAUAUCAGGAGGAACACCGAUGGCGAAGGCAGGUCUCUGGGCCGAUACUGACGCUGAGGAGCGAAAGCGUGGGGAGCGAACAGG